CCUCACCUGGCAUAUCUUGAGGUCAUUACCUCACAUCCUAUCACUCCAGAGAAUAUAUCUCCAUAGGCAUAGAACCAAGAGAACCCUGGCUGGGAGCAUAACACAAGUCCCUUUUCCCCUUCCAUCCUCCAGUAUAUGGCAGUAUCCAUUUCCCCUGCUUUUUCUGAUUUGCUUAAAAUACAUUACACUAAUUAUUAACUCCUUUUCCUGGAUAUAGAUUUCCCUCAAUUUUUAUUUCGUAUUAUUAACAAGCAAAACAACUCCAUGGAAGAUACUGGCCCUGUAGGGGAUUGGUUUGGGGGCAAAAGGAGCAAUUAAACAAUGGACUGAAAUACUAACUGACUCAGGACAGUGUUUUGUGCAGCCUGCCCAUCGACUGCUUUGGACUGAGUGACAAUAAGCCAGUUUUUUAAAGAAGAACAUGGGGCUGUUGGAGCUGGACCAGAGGAGGGCCACGAAAUGAUCAGAGGGCUGGAGCACCUCCCCUACGAGGACAGGUGGAGAGAAGUAGUAAUUGGACUGGAGCAAUUUCUGCAGCAGUGUCUGAGGCUGUUUCCCGCUUUGAACUCGCCACUCUCACUGACAACUGCUGCUUCACACCAUGAAUGAACUGCAAUCAAAUAAAAAUAUUCACCACAACAGCUUGUCAGCAGCGCAACGUGCACUAUUGCUUCUUUUGCUGCAGGAUUUGGGAUUUCAUGGCGCUACAUUCUGCCUAUGAAUGCCUGAAAAACUCCUAUCUGGGUUAUAAAAGGACAUUUAUUCAAUGAGGAGGAAAAAAAAUAAAAGGAAACCGUUCAAUGUUUCAGUUUUCAUUCAGGUAAAAUCCCAGUUCAGAAGGGGCAGGGAAGCAUGUGCUGAAAAUGAAGUGUGUGUGCAAGUCCCACUGAAGCCAGGUAGAUUGUAAGCAUAUGCUGAAAUGCUUAUUUAAAUUGGGCCCUUAAUUAUUAUGUGCUAGGAGAUUGAACUAUGCUUCAUAUUAUUUUCAUACAUCUAUAUUUAUAGAUGUGUGGGUGGGUGGGUGUGCACGGAUAUAUGUAAGCUGUUCGCUAAAGAACAUUAAAAAUGAAACAAAAAAAAAGUCCCCCUCAUCCCUUCUCCUGAAGUGACAGAUUAUUUGAUGGUUUUGACAAGCAAGACUUUAACAUUUGGUCGAAACAGCCAUUCAGAGAAAGAAAAAUGAGUCUGGCCUCACUUUUACUUGCUUUUCUGGCAGAGUUCGCAGCUUGAGCAUCACUGCUGCCAGGAUCCCAGCCCAUCCUUGCACAUCUCACUCAGGUGGAGUGCAUCUCAGCUCGCAUUUGUUCUGUGCUUUAACAACUCAGCUGUCAUUUGAACUUAUACUCUUCUCCAAUUCCAUCAAUUGUUCCAAUCAUUUAUUUAUAUCAAGUUUAAAGUGGAUAUAAUGUUAAAGUACUGUUCACCUAACAGUGGAUUUUCUCCAUGAUAUAUCUCAGUCCCAUCAGUUUAUAAAGGGAGUAACUCUGCAGAGCUCUAUCUAAUGAUACCCCUGCCUGUACCCUUCUAAGACAAGCUGGUGUUCCUGAUAUUGUACAAAUGCAGGAAACUAAUGAAAUGCAGAGGCUGGGGGGAGGAUUAAUAAAAGUUCUCAAAUCCACAAGUUCAAAAACCGUUUUAUAGACCAUCAAAUGUAAAGUAAGGAAAAAAAUGAAUGCUUUGAGGAGGGAUUUGAUUUAGAGAGGGCAAGAUGUUUGGCUCCAAGCAAGAAGGAGCAGGCACAAGAGAAACAGUGUGGACUGUCCCAAGGAAGGGAUGGAAACGUAGUCCAGGAGAGCAGCCCACCAGUAGGAAAUGAGGGAAGGUGAAGCAGCUCCUGAGGGGUUUUGCAAGGCAGGAAAGUGGUUUUGAACUGAAUUCAGCAGUGGAUAAGAAGGUGACAGGAGAUGGGAGCAAUAUGAAUGAAAAAUAGUUCAGCCACAAAAUUCAGCAUGCAUUAAAGUUUCAA
Long non-coding RNA from Lagopus muta (rock ptarmigan), 1966 nucleotides. RefSeq lists it as uncharacterized. The transcript is spliced from 3 exons. The record is from RefSeq and is a predicted model, not a curated record. Lineage: Eukaryota; Metazoa; Chordata; Aves; Galliformes; Phasianidae.